AGUUAAUAAGCUAAAUUUAAGCAAUUGUUUUGAAAACAAAAGAUAGAAAUUAAAAAUUUCUAUUAACUU
RNAcentral lists this transfer RNA (69 nucleotides) under Phlebotomus rodhaini. RNAcentral describes it as "tRNA-Ser". It matches the Rfam family "tRNA". Rfam says of the family: Transfer RNA (tRNA) molecules are approximately 80 nucleotides in length. Lineage: Eukaryota; Metazoa; Arthropoda; Insecta; Diptera; Psychodidae. The record is from RNAcentral.